UUCCGGCUUUCCAUCAGCCGGGGUCACUGAAGAGGCACACCAUCAUUGCCGGAAGUGCGGUGGGAUAAUCCCUCCAAUCCAUGGCAGACAAAGCCGGAUCUUUGCCCGUGGCAGGGCGCUGAUCCAUUGUUUGCGCGUAUGAGCGUGUAGCGGCGUC
Regulatory RNA element from Rhizobium sp., 157 nucleotides. It matches the Rfam family "speF leader". Rfam says of the family: This family is a putative regulatory RNA structure that is found upstream of the speF gene encoding ornithine decarboxylase in Agrobacterium tumefaciens and other alpha-proteobacteria. Lineage: Bacteria; Pseudomonadati; Pseudomonadota; Alphaproteobacteria; Hyphomicrobiales; Rhizobiaceae. The record is from Rfam.